ACCCCUUCUUUACAGUUGUGUGUUGCAGCUGCUACUACUCCUUCAGAAACCUAUCCUUUUUUUUCCCUCAACUUAUUUUCUCACGCGCUGCUGCAUCUACUCGACCGGCGGUAAAUACCCGGUUUCUUCUUCCUUCCCUUCCCUCUCCUCCAUUAAGGAAAGAAAAAAAAACCCAAAAAAUAGAAAAACUUUGAAAAAAAG
Hibiscus syriacus is the source of this 201-nucleotide long non-coding RNA. RefSeq lists it as uncharacterized. The record is from RefSeq and is a predicted model, not a curated record. The transcript has 2 exons. Lineage: Eukaryota; Viridiplantae; Streptophyta; Magnoliopsida; Malvales; Malvaceae.